GGAGAGAUGGCUGAGUGGCUUAAGGCACACGCUUGGAAAGCGUGCGUACGGUUUUCCCGUACCGCGGGUUCGAAUCCCGCUUUCUCCGCCA
Molecule: transfer RNA, 91 nt
Filed under: Burkholderiales bacterium
Lineage: Bacteria; Pseudomonadati; Pseudomonadota; Betaproteobacteria; Burkholderiales
Also listed under: 2 other names
Description: tRNA-Ser
Rfam family: tRNA
About the family: Transfer RNA (tRNA) molecules are approximately 80 nucleotides in length. Their secondary structure includes four short double-helical elements and three loops (D, anti-codon, and T loops).
Source: RNAcentral